RNAcentral lists this ribosomal RNA (395 nucleotides) under uncultured bacterium. RNAcentral describes it as "bacterial SSU rRNA". It matches the Rfam family "Bacterial small subunit ribosomal RNA", at positions 505 to 898 of the family's 1533-position model. The record is from RNAcentral.
GUGUCAGCAGCCGCGGUAAAACGUAGGUGGCAAGCGUUAUCCGGAUUUACUGGGCGUAAAGCGUGUGCAGGCGGAUGGCCAAGUGGUGUAUGAAAGCUCCAGGCUUAACCUGGAGAGGUUAUGCCAGACUGGCCGUCUUGAGGCAGAGAGAGGGACAUGGAAUUCCGGGUGUAGUGGUGAAAUGCGUAGAGAUCCGGAGGAACUCCAGAGGCGAAGGCGGUGUCCUGGCUCUGACCUGACGCUCAGACACGAAAGCAUGGGGAGCGAACGGGAUUAGAAACCCCGGUAGUCCAUGCCGUAAACGAUGCAGACUAGGCGUCGGCGGUCUCAACCCCGUCGGUGCCGAAGCAAACGCGAUAAGUCUGCCGCCUGGGGACUACGACCGCAAGGUUAAA